This 514-nucleotide ribosomal RNA is filed under the name Enterococcus faecium. RNAcentral's name for it is "bacterial SSU rRNA". It matches the Rfam family "Bacterial small subunit ribosomal RNA", at positions 1 to 511 of the family's 1533-position model. Lineage: Bacteria; Bacillati; Bacillota; Bacilli; Lactobacillales; Enterococcaceae. The record is from RNAcentral.
UAGAGUUUGGAUCUGGCUCAGGACGAACGCUGGCGGCGUGCCUAAUACAUGCAAGUCGUACGCUUCUUUUUCCACCGGAGCUUGCUCCACCGGAAAAAGAAGAGUGGCGAACGGGUGAGUAACACGUGGGUAACCUGCCCAUCAGAAGGGGAUAACACUUGGAAACAGGUGCUAAUACCGUAUAACAAUCGAAACCGCAUGGUUUUGAUUUGAAAGGCGCUUUCGGGUGUCGCUGAUGGAUGGACCCGCGGUGCAUUAGCUAGUUGGUGAGGUAACGGCUCACCAAGGCCACGAUGCAUAGCCGACCUGAGAGGGUGAUCGGCCACAUUGGGACUGAGACACGGCCCAAACUCCUACGGGAGGCAGCAGUAGGGAAUCUUCGGCAAUGGACGAAAGUCUGACCGAGCAACGCCGCGUGAGUGAAGAAGGUUUUCGGAUCGUAAAACUCUGUUGUUAGAGAAGAACAAGGAUGAGAGUAACUGUUCAUCCCUGACGGAUCAGCCAGACGUGCAAU